GUGUAGAGCUGCCGAUGGGGUCGCUGCCGCCGGGGCAGGCGGGGCUAGUGCCGAAGGGGGUGCCCGCCCGUUGUGAACCGGGCUGUGGCGGUUGUCAUUGAAGGUGACGUCGCUGCUCACGGUCACCUUGCCCUCAAUGAGGAUGCUGUGGGCGGCCGUGCCGUGCUCCGGUCGGCGGUAGGUUUCCGCCUUUGCACGAGGACCGAGUUUGUCCUGCUGGCUGGGUGGGAUAGGCCAGGCAGCUGAAGGUGUGGAGGUGGCUGACGUCGGGGGGGAUGCUGUGAUAAGCUGCCCACGGCGUGGCCUCCCGGACCUGAGAGGGGGAAACAUUGCGGUUGGUGUAGAGCACAGCCUCCGGCCUGUAGCUGCCCGGGAGUGCUGCGUCGUGCAGCAUCGUCCGCACACGGCCGAGGAGCAUGUGGUUGAGUCACUCCACCGCUCCGUUCUGCUCCGG
Molecule: long non-coding RNA, 454 nt
Filed under: Volvox carteri
Lineage: Eukaryota; Viridiplantae; Chlorophyta; Chlorophyceae; Chlamydomonadales; Volvocaceae
Description: long non-coding RNA (VCAR_LNC001423)
Source: RNAcentral